CUAACCACCUUGUGCCGAGUCGUUCCCCCAAAACCAUCAACGUCGAUUCGCCUUCUCCUCCUACUACUCCCAAUCCUUCCUCCCUCACUCUCUUGCGACGCCGACCAAGCUCCUGCUUCCCCAAGCGUCGGCGACAGUUUUCCACCGCCGAUUUCAUCCUCCCUGGGUUCGCGAUACCGCCGACCGCCUCCUCUGUGCCGGCCACCAGGUCCGACCUAGCGCUAACCCUUCUUCUUAGCCCUAGCGCCGACGGCCACGGUCCGAUCUCUCUCCGGCGGCCACUGCUUUGCAUCUCUCAGCCCUAGCACCGCUACCCUCUCUGGCCACUGUUUUGUUUUUUCCCGACAGCCGCUUCUCCCCGACGGUGCCGCAAACCGUAGGCACCUUCUCUGUUGUCUUCGCUGUUGAGAUUGGGAACACACUGACGCCAUUCCUCCUCAGCCCUAAAUCUCCCGUCGACGCCUCCUUUUCGGCGACACCUGAGCAUUGCCUCCGUCCUUGUGCCCUAGCGGUGAUUGAAGAGGUAAGGGAGACUAUUUUGUUGCUGGAUUGUAGUGGUGAAUGGAUUUCUAGGUUGAUUUAUGAGUUUCUUUUUAUCCGGGCAAUGAGGAGGGUUUUCCAGCAGCCACCCAUUUUCCAGCAGCCACCCAUUUUUCGGCAGCCACCUUCUAGCGGUGAAUAGCCCUAUUGAGCAGCAACUCUUUGAUUCCAGCAGCGUGAACAACUGUGAAUUGAGCCUUUGUAGCUUGGCCAGCAUUGUUCACUGGCGAUCCAUAGCACCGGUCAUUCUGUUUUGGGCAGGGAAACCCUUUGACCGUUAGCCAUCAGCGACCAUCCUGGAUUUUGGGACUUUGAUUCGAGACGAGCAUCUCGAUGUUGGAUUUGACUGGAUUGGACCUGCUAUUU
Zingiber officinale is the source of this 906-nucleotide long non-coding RNA. RefSeq lists it as uncharacterized. The transcript is spliced from 3 exons. NCBI's taxonomy places the organism in Eukaryota, Viridiplantae, Streptophyta, Magnoliopsida, Zingiberales, Zingiberaceae. The record is from RefSeq and is a predicted model, not a curated record.